AUGCCUUCUUACUGUUUGCCCGUAACUGGUAUAUUCGUAUCGACUUUGUGCGCAUUUUGCUAUUAUGUGUUCUUUUAAUUAAAAUGAUUCUUUUUAAGGACUUUCUUUGCUUCGGCUUGGAAGAA
This 125-nucleotide ribosomal RNA is filed under the name Plasmodium vivax (malaria parasite P. vivax). Its description in RNAcentral is "partial 18S ribosomal RNA". The record is from RNAcentral. Lineage: Eukaryota; Apicomplexa; Aconoidasida; Haemosporida; Plasmodiidae.